CCACGUGGUUUUCAGCCCUCGAGUCCCACCUCGAGGAUUCUGCAGAGAAGACGCGGCCGUCGCCGCCGCCGCUCGCUGAAUGCACCGCCCGACUCCUCCUCCUCAAGAUGCCACCGCCCGACGCCUCGACGCCGGUGUGCUCCUACGGCAUACCCCGGCUGUGUGAAGAACAUGCCUGAGAUACUGCUCAGGCUCAGCCACCGUCAGCACAAGCAGUACAUGAACUAGUUGAUUCAUUCUCAGACCAACAGCUGGAUGCUACAGAAAUAGAAGAACCGAUGCACCGUGGGAUCGAGAAACAAGCAAAGAACAGCACGAUCUUUAGCCCCAAGCAAGUUGGAGGCAGAUCAUACACGGAGAUGUUGGCGAACGAGGAAAGAUUGGUGGCUUUUUGCCGUUCUUCCUGGGAACACCUUUGGGGCCACACAUGUGGUUCCUUGGAAAACUACACGUUUGUGACUCCUAUACUCUAUGCAUACGGAACCAUCCCAGCACAUGCUGGACCCUGCGCCCUCUUGCAGAUCUUCUCCAUCAAAGUCAUGGAGAAUGAAGAGUGGAAAAUCAGGUGGCCAGUGGAGGUAUAUGGCUUCAUUGCUGCUCGAGACACUGUGGAUCACAAUCGCAACCUUCUGUUCAGCCGUACAAGGGAUGAUCCCCAAAUUCUCAUUCAACAGACACAUGCCAAGCUGGAAAUCUUUCUGGCUGCCUGCAUAUGGGUGGAGAAGGGAUGGGCGGUCGGUUGUUAAGUCGGUUACUUUGUUUCAUUUUCAAAUUCAAAAUACAGUAAUGUUUAUGGAAUAAAUACAUCCUACUCUAUCAACUGUUUAACAGUGUAUAAUUUCAACCAUGAACUGACAAAGUGCCUGCUGUGCAUCCUCUACCUAUUAAAGUGUGAACACAAAAACCGUAAUGCUGAAUCCACCCCAGUUUUAUCCAAGGUGGUGGUGCCUGUGUUGCUCAGACAUGGACACAUGUAUCUUACUAGGAUGAGUACUUCCAGGAUUCAUUUUUGAAGUUGACUGGCCCGUGUCGCCCGAUUGCUUUGAUCGACCCUGUUGACUUUGAAAUUCAACUGAAAGUGAAGGGCACAACAGAGUCUGAAGAUGAAACACUGAUGGCACGAUGGUUUGAAUAUUCCCAUGGUUUUGGAGAGUAUGGUGAGCUUGCCUGUCGUCGCUGGGACGGCAAUUUUUGCACACUAGAGAUCACCUCUGCGCUACUUGCCAGAACGGUUGUAGCAACUAUUAUCUCUGCUGAUAUUAUUGAAGGGUCAUGGCCUGAUGGUUAUAGAGGUCGUGUGGUUGCCCGUACUGCUGCCAUAGAUGAGGACAUUCUGCUGCUUGACUCUGGAGAAGGACCAUUGAAAGUGGAUCCAGACGGUCGUGUGACCCUUCAAAGAGGUGUUGUUUGCGUGGAACAUCAGGGGAUGCUCACGGUUUCUAUGGAAGCCUACUCAAAGGCAGAUAUUUGUUAUGCAGAUUGUGUUGAAUUCAGGCCCAAAAAGUCUCUCACAAGUAUUGGUAUUUGCGACCUUGGAUUCUGCACGGUGCAGUUCAUUGUUGGUUGGUCCCCAAUGGCAACGAAGUCUGAUCUGAUGUACUUUGGCAACUGAGUUGAAGUGCAUCUACUAUUUAGUGUUCCCUUCCCAGUGGUGUGUUUAAGAUGCAGAGCUAAUUAUGUCCAUUAACAAGACAUGCUUGGUCAAGUGUCCAAACUGUGGCUAUGUAAGUGUCCAGACUAUUUAUGAGUCAUGUUUGGCAAACUAUGGCUGAGCUUGGCUAACUGCUUAUAUGCACUAACUCCUUGCGGGUUUAUUGGUCGUUUCGCAGCGAUUUUUAAUAAUUUUUUAUGUGUAA
Molecule: RNA transcript, 1856 nt
Organism: Hordeum vulgare subsp. vulgare (domesticated barley)
Lineage: Eukaryota; Viridiplantae; Streptophyta; Magnoliopsida; Poales; Poaceae
Exons: 5
Source: RefSeq, a predicted model, not a curated record